Podarcis lilfordi (Lilford's wall lizard) is the source of this 69-nucleotide non-coding RNA. NCBI's taxonomy places the organism in Eukaryota, Metazoa, Chordata, Lepidosauria, Squamata, Lacertidae. The record is from the annotation of a GenBank genome assembly.
GCUGUAGCUCAGUGAUGGUGCAUCUACUUUGCGUGCAAAAGGCCCUGGGUUCAAUCCCUGGCAUCUCCA